GCCUUAGUUUCUUGCAUUACUUAUUUUCAUCUCUUGCAUAGCAACUUAUAUGUUUUAUUCCUACUGCUACAUAUUGUAAUCACCACACAAUCAUUCAAGUUAGAAGCACAUACUUGUUAGACUUUUAAUUUGAUUAAAAUUUUCAAAAUAUCCAAUUCAUCCCCCCCUCUUGGGUAGCCAUACCUAGGCAACAAGUCUAAAUGGUCCUCUCUGA
RNAcentral lists this long non-coding RNA (214 nucleotides) under Elaeis guineensis (African oil palm). Its description in RNAcentral is "long non-coding RNA (EGUI_LNC041646)". The record is from RNAcentral. Lineage: Eukaryota; Viridiplantae; Streptophyta; Magnoliopsida; Arecales; Arecaceae.